Molecule: ribosomal RNA, 253 nt
Filed under: uncultured bacterium
Lineage: Bacteria
Description: partial 16S ribosomal RNA
Rfam family: Bacterial small subunit ribosomal RNA
Source: RNAcentral
UACGGAGGGUGCAAGCGUUAUCCGGAUUCACUGGGUUUAAAGGGUGCGUAGGUGGGCUAGUAAGUCAGUGGUGAAAUCUCCGGGCUUAACCCGGAAACUGCCAUUGAUACUAUUAGUCUUGAAUGUUGUGGAGGUAAGCGGAAUAUGUCAUGUAGCGGUGAAAUGCUUAGAUAUGGCAUAGAACACCGAUAGCGUAGGCAGCUUACUACACAAAUAUUGACACUGAGGCACGAAAGCGUGGGGAUCAAACAGG